CCAAAUGAUGAAAAACCUAACAACAACAACUUGAAUUUCUUCAACCGAAAACCAUAGGAGGAAACAAACUUUGACAGCUUUUUAACACUGAUA
RNAcentral lists this small nucleolar RNA (93 nucleotides) under Lachancea mirantina. Lineage: Eukaryota; Fungi; Ascomycota; Saccharomycetes; Saccharomycetales; Saccharomycetaceae. The record is from RNAcentral.